GCACGUCGUUAUUACACACGAGAUGGACUUACCUGAUCGUCACGGCGAGCAAUACGAUGAUAGCCCCGACCAGGACCAUGGCGAUCAGAACUCCGCAUAUCAUGUACACGCUGUCCACUGUCGGGUCGAGUUGUGGAAACAAUUGCAAGGAAUCUGAAACAAGA
Long non-coding RNA from Diprion similis, 164 nucleotides. RefSeq lists it as uncharacterized. The transcript is spliced from 3 exons. The record is from RefSeq and is a predicted model, not a curated record. NCBI's taxonomy places the organism in Eukaryota, Metazoa, Arthropoda, Insecta, Hymenoptera, Diprionidae.